GCCUGCAUGAAGUCGGAAUUGCUAGUAAUCGCAGAUCAGCAUGCUGCGGUGAAUACGUUCCCGGGCCUUGUACACACCGCCCGUCACACCAUGGGAGUCGGUAACACCCGAAGUCGGUAGCCUAACCGUAAGGAGGGCGCCGCCGAAGGUGGGAUUGAUGACUGGGGUGAAGUCGUAACAAGGUAGC
This 187-nucleotide ribosomal RNA is filed under the name uncultured bacterium. RNAcentral describes it as "partial 16S ribosomal RNA". It matches the Rfam family "Bacterial small subunit ribosomal RNA", at positions 1314 to 1500 of the family's 1533-position model. The record is from RNAcentral.